RNAcentral lists this unclassified non-coding RNA (329 nucleotides) under soil metagenome. RNAcentral describes it as "partial contains 5.8S ribosomal RNA, internal transcribed spacer 2, and large subunit ribosomal RNA". The stretch from base 1 to 120 matches the Rfam family "5.8S ribosomal RNA", at positions 35 to 154 of the family's 154-position model. The record is from RNAcentral.
GAUGAAGAACGUAGCGAAAUGCGAUAAGUAAUGUGAAUUGCAGAAUUCAGUGAAUCAUCGAAUCUUUGAACGCUCAUUGCGCCCCUUGGUAUUCCGGGGGGCAUGCCUGUUCGAGCGUCAUUACAACCCUCAAGCUCUGCUUGGUCUUGGGCGUCACCGGUCCCCGGUGUGCCUUAAAAUCAGUGGCGGCGCCAUCUGGCUCUAAGCGUAGUACAUACUCUCGCUACAGACGUCCGGUGGAUGCUGGCCAGCAACCCCCAAUUUAUCAAGGUUGACCUCGGAUCAGGUAGGGAUACCCGCUGAACUUAAGCAUAUCAAUAAGCGGAGGA